This 22-nucleotide microRNA is filed under the name Ptychodera flava. RNAcentral's name for it is "Pfl-Mir-92-o45_5p* (star (passenger))". Lineage: Eukaryota; Metazoa; Hemichordata; Enteropneusta; Ptychoderidae. The record is from RNAcentral.
AGGUUGGGACUUUUGCAAUUUC